RNAcentral lists this ribosomal RNA (994 nucleotides) under Mycolicibacterium vaccae. RNAcentral describes it as "bacterial SSU rRNA". It matches the Rfam family "Bacterial small subunit ribosomal RNA", at positions 89 to 1096 of the family's 1533-position model. The record is from RNAcentral. Lineage: Bacteria; Bacillati; Actinomycetota; Actinomycetes; Mycobacteriales; Mycobacteriaceae.
ACUCGAGUGGCGAACGGGUGAGUAACACGUGGGUGAUCUGCCCUGCACUUUGGGAUAAGCCUGGGAAACUGGGUCUAAUACCGAAUACACCUUGCUGGAUGCAUGUCUGGUGGGGGAAAGCUUUUGCGGUGUGGGAUGGGCCCGCGGCCUAUCAGCUUGUUGGUGAGGUUACGGCUCACCAAGGCGACGACGGGUAGCCGGCCUGAGAGGGUGUCCGGCCACACUGGGACUGAGAUACGGCCCAGACUCCUACGGGAGGCAGCAGUGGGGAAUAUUGCACAAUGGGCGCAAGCCUGAUGCAGCGACGCCGCGUGAGGGAUGACGGCCUUCGGGUUGUAAACCUCUUUCGCCAGGGACGAAGCGCAAGUGACGGUACCUGGAGAAGAAGCACCGGCCAACUACGUGCCAGCAGCCGCGGUAAUACGUAGGGUGCGAGCGUUGUCCGGAAUUACUGGGCGUAAAGAGCUCGUAGGUGGUUUGUCGCGUUGUUCGUGAAAACUCACAGCUUAACUGUGGGCGUGCGGGCGAUACGGGCAGACUGGAGUACUGCAGGGGAGACUGGAAUUCCUGGUGUAGCGGUGGAAUGCGCAGAUAUCAGGAGGAACACCGGUGGCGAAGGCGGGUCUCUGGGCAGUAACUGACGCUGAGGAGCGAAAGCGUGGGGAGCGAACAGGAUUAGAUACCCUGGUAGUCCACGCCGUAAACGGUGGGUACUAGGUGUGGGUUUCCUUCCUUGGGAUCCGUGCCGUAGCUAACGCAUUAAGUACCCCGCCUGGGGAGUACGGCCGCAAGGCUAAAACUCAAAGAAAUUGACGGGGGCCCGCACAAGCGGCGGAGCAUGUGGAUUAAUUCGAUGCAACGCGAAGAACCUUACCUGGGUUUGACAUGCACAGGACGCUGGUAGAGAUAUCAGUUCCCUUGUGGCCUGUGUGCAGGUGGUGCAUGGCUGUCGUCAGCUCGUGUCGUGAGAUGUUGGGUUAAGUCCCGCAACGAG